CCUACGGGUGGCUGCAGUGAGGAAUAUUGGUCAAUGGCCGGAAGUCUGAACCAGCCAAGCCGCGUGCAGGACGAAGGUGCCAUGCAUUGUAAACUUCUUUUGUCAGGGGACAAACUCAGUCUCGAGUGCCUUACCGCAUGUACUUCAAGAAUAAGCAUCGGCUAACUCCGUGCCAGCAGCCGCGGUAAUACGGAGGAUCCGAGCGUUAUCCGGUUUUAUUGGGUUUAAAGGGUGCGUAGUCGGGCUGUUAAGUCAGCGGUAAAAGCCCGGGGCUCAACCCGGGCCCGCCGUGGGAACUGGCGGGCUUGAGAGGGCUAGAGGUAGGCGGAAGUCGCAGUGUAGCGGUGAAAUGCUUAGAUAUUGCGCAGAACUCCGAUUGCGAAGGCAGCAUACCGUAGGGGAUCUGACGCUGAGGCACGAAGGCGUGGGUAUCGAACAGGAUUAGAUACCCUUGUAGUC
RNAcentral lists this ribosomal RNA (459 nucleotides) under uncultured bacterium. RNAcentral describes it as "partial 16S ribosomal RNA". It matches the Rfam family "Bacterial small subunit ribosomal RNA", at positions 338 to 795 of the family's 1533-position model. The record is from RNAcentral.